UAGCAUAUCAAUAAGCGGAGGAAAAGAAACCAACCGGGAUUACCCUAGUAACGGCGAGUGAAGCGGUAAGAGCUCAAAUUUGAAAGCUGGCUCCUUCGGGGUCCGCAUUGUAAUUUGCAGAGGAUGCUUCGGGAGCGGUCCCCAUCUAAGUGCCCUGGAACGGGCCGUCAUAGAGGGUGAGAAUCCCGUAUGGGAUGGGGUGUCCGCGCCCGUGUGAAGCUCCUUCGACGAGUCGAGUUGUUUGGGAAUGCAGCUCUAAUUGGGUGGUAAAUUUCAUCUAAAGCUAAAUAUUGGCCGGAGACCGAUAGCGCACAAGUAGAGUGAUCGAAAGAUGAAAAGCACUUUGAAAAGAGAGUUAAAAAGCACGUGAAAUUGUUGAAAGGGAAGCGCUUGCGAUCAGACUCGCUCGCGGGGUUCAGCCGGCCUUCGGGCCGGUGUACUUCCCCGCGGGCGGGCCAGCGUCGGUUUGGGCGGCCGGUCAAAGGCCCCUGGAAUGUAACGCCUCUCGGGGCGUCUUAUAGCCAGGGGUGCCAUGCGGCCUGCCCGGACCGAGGAACGCGCUUCGGCUCGGACGCUGGCAUAAUGGUCGUAAGCGACCCGUCUUGAAACACGGACCAAGGAGUCUAACAUCUACGCGAGUGUUCGGGUGUCAAACCCGUGCGCGCAGUGAAAGCGAACGGAGGUGGGAACCCCUCGGGGUGCACCAUCGACCGAUCCUGAUGUCUUCGGAUGGAUUUGAGUAAGAGCGUAGCUGUUGGGACCCGAAAGAUGGUGAACUAUGCCUGAAUAGGGCGAAGCCAGAGGAAACUCUGGUGGAGGCUCGCAGCGGUUCUGACGUGCAAAUCGAUCGUCAAAUUUGGGUAUAGGGGCGAAAGACUAAUCGAACCAUCUAGUAGCUGGUUCCUGC
This 907-nucleotide ribosomal RNA is filed under the name Penicillium vancouverense. Its description in RNAcentral is "LSU rRNA". It matches the Rfam family "Eukaryotic large subunit ribosomal RNA", at positions 36 to 961 of the family's 3401-position model. The record is from RNAcentral. Lineage: Eukaryota; Fungi; Ascomycota; Eurotiomycetes; Eurotiales; Aspergillaceae.